AUUGAACGCUGGCGGCAUGCCUUACACAUGCAAGUCGAACGGUAACAGGUUAAGCUGACGAGUGGCGAACGGGUGAGUAAUGUAUCGGAACGUGCCCAGUCGUGGGGGAUAACUGCUCGAAAGAGCAGCUAAUACCGCAUACGACCUGAGGGUGAAAGCGGGGGAUCGCAAGACCUCGCGCGAUUGGAGCGGCCGAUAUCAGAUUAGGUAGUUGGUGAGGUAAAGGCUCACCAAGCCGACGAUCUGUAGCUGGUCUGAGAGGACGACCAGCCACACUGGGACUGAGACACGGCCCAGACUCCUACGGGAGGCAGCAGUGGGGAAUUUUGGACAAAGGGCGCAAGCCUGAUCCAGCCAUGCCGCGUGCGGGAAGAAGGCCUUCGGGUUGUAAACCGCUUUUGCCAGGGAAGAAAAGGUUCUGGCUAAUACCUGGGACUCAUGACGGUACCUGAAGAAUAAGCACCGGCUAACUACGUG
RNAcentral lists this ribosomal RNA (477 nucleotides) under uncultured bacterium. RNAcentral's name for it is "partial 16S ribosomal RNA". It matches the Rfam family "Bacterial small subunit ribosomal RNA", at positions 30 to 507 of the family's 1533-position model. The record is from RNAcentral.